CUACGGGAUGCUCCAGUUAGGGAUAUUCGGCAAUGGGGGAAACCCUGACCGAGCAAUGCCGCGUGAAUGAAGAAGUAUUUCGAUAUGUAAAGUUCUGUUGUUAAGGAAGAAAGGUACGAAUAGGAAAUGAUUCGUAAUUGACGGUACUUAACCAGAAAGCCCCUGCUAAGUACGUGCCAGCAGCAGCGGUAAUACGUAGGGGGCGAGCGUUAUCCGGAAUUAUUGGGCGUAAAGGGUGCGUAGGCGGCCUGUCAAGUCCGAGUUGAAAGCCCACGGCUUAACCGUGGAGGGUGCUCGGAAACUGAUAGGCUUGAAUCCAGAAGAGGCAAGUGGAAUUCUAUGUGGAGCGGUGGAAUGCGUAGAUAUAUGGAGGAACACCAGUGGCGAAGGCGGCUUGCUGGGCUGGUAUUGACGCUGAUGCACGAAAGCGUGGGGAGCAAACAGGAUUAGAUACCCCCGUAGUC
This 464-nucleotide ribosomal RNA is filed under the name uncultured bacterium. RNAcentral's name for it is "partial 16S ribosomal RNA". It matches the Rfam family "Bacterial small subunit ribosomal RNA", at positions 339 to 795 of the family's 1533-position model. The record is from RNAcentral.